AAAGCGUUCCACAGGGAUGCUGGUCCAUGUUGACUCUACAAGGUGUUGAAAGCGUUCCACAGGGAUGCUGGCCCCAUGUUGACUCUACAAGGUGUUGAAAGCGUUCCACAGGGAUGCUGGCCCAUGUUGACUCUACAAGGUGUAGAAAGCGUUCCACAGGGAUGCUGGUCCAUGUUGACUCUACAAGGUGUUGAAAGCGUUCCACAGGGAUGCUGGUCCAUGUUGACUCUACAAGGUGUCUAAAGCGUUCCACAGGGAUGCUGGUCCAUGUUGACUCUACAAGGUGUUGAAAGCGUUCCACAGGGAUGCUGGCCCAUGUUGACUCUACAAGGUGUCUAAAGCGUUCCACAGGGAUGCUGGUCCAUGUUGACUCUACAAGGUGUUGAAAGCGUUCCACAGGGAUGCUGGUCCAUGUUGACUCUACAAGGUGUCUAAAGCGUUCCACAGGGAUGCUGGUCCAUGUUGACUCUACAAGGUGUUGAAAGCGUUCCACAGGGAUGCUGGUCCAUGUUGACUCUACAAGGUGUCUAAAGCGUUCCACAGGGAUGCUGGUCCAUGUUGACUCUACAAGGUGUCUAAAGCGUUCCACAGGGAUGCUGGUCCAUGUUGACUCUACAAGGUGUCGAAAGCGUUCCACAGGGAUGCUGGUCCAUGUUGACUCUACAAGGUGUCGAAAGCGUUCCACAGGGAUGCUGGUCCAUGUUGACUCUACAAGGUGUCGAAAGCGUUCCACAGGGAUGCUGGUCCAUGUUGACUCUACAAGGUGUCGAAAGCGUUCCACAGGGAUGCUGGUCCAUGUUGACUCUACAAGGUGUUGAAAGCGUUCCACAGGGAUGCUGGCCCAUGUUGACUCUACAAGGUGUUGAAAGCGUUCCACAGGGAUGCUGGCCCAUGUUGACUCUACAAGGUGUUGAAAGCGUUCCACAGGGAUGCUGGCCCAUGUUGACUCUACAAGGUGUUGAAAGAGUUCCACAGGGAUGCUGGCCCAUGUUGACUCUACAAGGUGUUGAAAGCGUUCCACAGGGAUGCUGGCCCAUGUUGACUCUACAAGGUGUCGAAAGCGUUCCACAGGGAUGCUGGCCCAUGUUGACUCUACGAGGUGUUGAAAGCGUUCCACAGGGAUGCUGGUCCAUGUUGACUCUACAAGGUGUCGAAAGCGUUCCACAGGGAUGCUGGUCCAUGUUGACUCCACAAGGUGUCUAAAGCGUUCCACAGGGAUGCUGGUCCAUGUUGACUCUACAAGGUGUCGAAAGCGUUCCACAGGGAUGCUGGUCCAUGUUGACUCUACAAGGUGUUGAAAGCGUUCCACAGGGAUGCUGGCCCAUGUUGACUCUACAAGGUGUUGAAAGCGUUCCACAGGGAUGCUGGUCCAUGUUGACUCUACAAGGUGUUGAAAGCGUUCCACAGGGAUGCUGGUCCAUGUUGACUCCAAUGCUUCCCACAGUUGUGUCAAAUUGGCUGGGGAAACUUAAUAUAGUAUAGACCAGGAAGCAUAGCUUUCACCUGGUCA
Molecule: RNA transcript, 1510 nt
Organism: Oncorhynchus keta (chum salmon)
Lineage: Eukaryota; Metazoa; Chordata; Actinopteri; Salmoniformes; Salmonidae
Gene name: melanoma-associated antigen C1-like
Exons: 6
Source: RefSeq, a predicted model, not a curated record